GGAGCUCAUUCUCAGGCUGGAGGAAGAAAAGAACAACAGAACACUCUGCUUUUGGAAAGAAUGCUUUUCAAACAAGGCGUUUUAAAGAUAAAUGGUAAAACUGAACUGGAAAUCCAUCUGGCCGGCUGCCUGCUCUAAUGAAUAACCCCACUUUGGCUCGUGCAAUGUAAGCAGAAAGUUCUCUCCCGGCCUCUUUCGUCCGUCAUGAAUCUACAAGACAGCCAACAUAAUAUCUGGGCGACAACAGUGCGCUAACAGCGCAGUGACUUCCAUUUUCUUUGCUUUCUAUUGAUUUUCACUUAAUAACUGGCGAAAUACUAAACGUCCGCCCUGAGUACCUAAUAAAUCCUGCC
This 353-nucleotide long non-coding RNA is filed under the name Fukomys damarensis (Damara mole-rat). RNAcentral describes it as "lncRNA (ENSFDAG00000032848.1)". Lineage: Eukaryota; Metazoa; Chordata; Mammalia; Rodentia; Bathyergidae. The record is from RNAcentral.